UUUUAAGUAGGUUGGCAACGUGAAAUGAAAUAGAUGCAUAUGAUUGGUGGAAUGUUAUCAUCUCAGUCCAACAACCAAUCAUAUGCUAAUGCUAUUAUCAUUCACUGUGACCAACCGAAAUAAUAUUUAGCAGAAAAUUUUUUUAGAGGUUCACGAUAUUUCUUUUCUGCGCACCCUGUAGAAGCCAUUAGUUUGCUUUUCAAGUUUUGCGAAAGUGAUUAAUUUACGUUUGAAUUUUGCAAAAUUAAGAUGUAUAGUUGGGUGUUUUGAAGAAUUAUUGCACAUCAAUCGAAAGAAUUAUUGAAUCCAACGCCGAAGAAUACUUCGAUCAACAUUCCAGCGACUUCCUAUUCAUCAUAGUAUUCGAUCAAAUCUAUUUCAAUUUUUGUUGGUUCGGUAACACGAGUUCGAGUCAUCUACGCUAAAUAAUUUCGAGCAGCUUCGAACCAAUACCUCAAUUCAGCCCAAAUCAAACUCCAACUUUCAACAUGGGAACUGAUGUUGAUUAUCUCGAGGAUCAAGAGUGUGGUUGUCUGUUGCAUAUUUGGACUACCGAUUGCUAUAAUAUUCGCCAUGAAAAACGCAUCAAAACAUGCGAUACGUGCGCCAAACGCGAAAAACUACAAAAAGAAGCCAACGAAGUGAAAAGGCAACAACGAGUAGUAGAACGGAAUCGACAUAAAUACAUAAGGAGUAUUUACGAGAACGUCCCUUCGAACCGUAUUCUUAUAAAAGCGGCGAUUGAUAAGUACAGGCAGGACAAAGGCAGCAAGAGGACUGAUGUUUGGAUAUUGAAGCAUUUGCAAGAGAAACCACUGUGCGAUAUUUUAGAAGUACAGAAAGAAAAAGCACGUUGGUUUUGCAACAAAGAUAGAUUGGAUUUUGUCGAUUUUAAGAAGUUAGAACCUUAGGUAUACUUAUUGAUUUUUAUGUACCUAAUAGUGUAAUACAGUUAUUACUACUUCGAAGUUAAUAGAAAUAAGCCAAAUUAUUUUUCGUUUUUCGUUUUCAUUUUUGUACUAUAAGCAUGUUAAGCACGUAUGUAAUUUUGAGAAAUACAUAAUCUUUUUCUACAAAA
Molecule: long non-coding RNA, 1078 nt
Organism: Planococcus citri (citrus mealybug)
Lineage: Eukaryota; Metazoa; Arthropoda; Insecta; Hemiptera; Pseudococcidae
Exons: 2
Source: RefSeq, a predicted model, not a curated record